RNAcentral lists this ribosomal RNA (401 nucleotides) under uncultured bacterium. Its description in RNAcentral is "partial 16S ribosomal RNA". It matches the Rfam family "Bacterial small subunit ribosomal RNA", at positions 360 to 776 of the family's 1533-position model. The record is from RNAcentral.
AAUAUUGCACAAUGGGGGAAACCCUGAUGCAGCAACGCCGCGUGAAGGAUGAAGGUUUUCGGAUUGUACACUUCUUUAGUCGGGGACGAAUAAAUGACGGUACACGGAGAAUAAUCCACGGCUAACUACGUGCCAGCAGCCGCGGCAAUACGUAGGUGGCGAGCGUUGUCCGGAAUUACUGGGUGUAAAGGGCGUGUAGGCGGGAAUGUAAGUCAGAUGUGAAAUCCCAGGGCUUAACCCUGGAGCUGCAUCUGAAACUAUGUUUCUUGAGUGUCGGAGAGGAAAGCGGAAUUCCUAGUGUAGCGGUGAAAUGCGUAGAUAUUAGGAGGAACACCAGUGGCGAAGGCGGCUUUCUGGACGAUAACUGACGCUGAGGCGCGAAAGCGUGGGGAGCAAACAGG